RNAcentral lists this ribosomal RNA (2451 nucleotides) under Triticum aestivum (bread wheat). RNAcentral describes it as "partial small subunit ribosomal RNA". Lineage: Eukaryota; Viridiplantae; Streptophyta; Magnoliopsida; Poales; Poaceae. The record is from RNAcentral.
AUGAUGGCAGUAAACUGCACUCUUCAAAUCCUCCUCCUCCUCUUGUUCAUACUCCUCUCCCCUGUAGCCAUCACCGCCGGUGCUACUGACACAUUCGGCAAGGGCCAGAAUGUCACUGACGGCGAGACACUCGUCUCGGCCGGUGGCACGUUUACACUGGGAUUCUUCUCUCCCGGUGCGUCGGCCAAGAGAUACCUCGGGAUAUGGUUCUCGGUGUCCAGCGAUGCCGUUUGCUGGGUGGCCAACCGUGAUCACCCUCUCAAGGACACCUCCGGCGUGCUGUUGGUGGCCAGCGACACGGGGGACCUUCUCCUGCUCGACGGCUCCGGCGAGGUGGCGUGGUCAUCCAACUCCCCCAACACCUCCUCAGUGGAGGCGCAGCUUCUGGAGUCUGGCAACCUGGUCGUACACGACCAGAGAAGCAAAACUAUCCUGUGGCAGUCGUUCGACCACCCAUCGAACACCUUGCUGCCCGGCAUGAAGAUGGGCAAGAACCUGUGGACCGGCGACGAGUGGUACCUUACGUCGUGGCGGUCGCCGGAUGACCCAUCUCCGGGGAGCUACCGCCGCGUGCUGGAGUACGCGACUCGGCUGCCGGAGGUCGUCCUCUGGCAACAGGACGCCAAGGCGUAUCGCACGGGGCCGUGGAAUGGGCGCUGGUUCAACGGCGUCCCGGAGGCCUCGACGUAUGCGCACGAUUUCCCGCUGGACGUGACGGCCAGCAAGUCAGAGAUCACAUACGGGUACACCGCCAGGCCAGGCGCGCCACUCACCCGUGUGGUGGUGACGGACGCCGGCGUGGUGAGGCGGCUGGUGUGGGACGCGAGCAGCCUGGCGUGGAAGACCUUCUUCCAGGGGCCAAGAGACGUGUGCGAUGCCUACGGAAAGUGCGGGGCAUUCGGUCUAUGCGACGCCAGCGCAGCGUCGUCGGCGUUCUGCGGCUGCCUGCAGGGGUUCAACCCCGCGUCGCCACCGGCGUGGUACAUGAGGGAAACCUCGGGCGGCUGCCGGCGAAACGUGCCGCUGAACUGCGGCGGCAACGAGACAGCGACGGAUGGCUUUGUGCUGGUCCGUGGCGUGAAGCUGCCCGACACUCAGAACGUGUCGGUGGAUAUGAGCAUCUCGACGGAGGAGUGCAGGGAUAGGUGCUUCGCCAACUGCUCCUGCCUGGCUUACGCAUCCGCUGAGAUCCGAGAAGGUGGCGGUGGCAGUGGCUGCAUCAUUUGGACGGGUGACUUGGUCGAUCUUCGUUACGUGGACCGAGGGCAGGAUCUGUACCUCAGGCUGGCCGGGCCUGAAAUAGCUGUGCCAAAGGGCUCGAAGUUUGCUAUUGCGACUGUUCUUGCGCCGGUAGCUUCCGCUGUUGCUAUAAUACUUGUCUUGUUAUUUGUCAUUUGCUGGAGAAGGAAGCACAGAAUCUCACGUAAACGACUAAACGAUGGUAUUCCACAAAGUUCAGCUAUGACAGUUCCCUCGGUUGAUCUGCACACUCUAAAGGAGGCUACACUGAAUUUCUCCGAGAGCCAUGUGAUUGGUCAAGGAGGAUUUGGCAUAGUGUAUAAGGGCCAAUUACCUGACGGGAGAACGAUUGCAGUGAAGAGGCUUAGGCAGUGUGCUCUCACAAGGAAAGGCAAAUGCGACUUCGCAAGAGAAGUGGAGGUGAUGGCCAGGCUCAGGCAUGGCAACCUUAUUCGCCUCCUUGCCUACUGUGACGAAGGCGAAGAGAGGAUACUUGUCUACGUCUACAUGCCCAACAAGAGCCUCGAUCUCUACAUAUUUGGUGAACCCAGCCUCCGUGCUACGCUGAGCUGGAGGCAGAGGUUGGAUAUCAUCAACGGCAUUGCACAAGGCGUGGCGUACAUGCACGAGGGAUCGGGCGAGAGCGUCGUCCACAGAGACUUGAAGCUUCAAAACGUGCUGCUAGAUGACAAUUGGCGGGCCAAGGUUGCGGACUUUGGCACCGCGAAGCUGUUUGUCGCUGAGCGGGUGGACUCUAGCCUCACCAUCGUCAACUCACCUGGAUAUGCAUCGCCAGAGUCAUUGCGGGCGGAGAUGACGCUCAAAUGCGACGUCUAUAGCUUCGGAGUCGUGCUGCUGGAAAUCCUUAGCGGGCAAAGGAAUGGCGAGACGCAGAGGCUCCUUUUACAUGCAUGGGGAUUGUGGGAGCAGGACAGGAAAAUGGCGCUCCUUGAUCCGACGGUGAAUCUCCCUCCCCUCUCCCGGCCUGAUUCCGACGUAGGCUCUGAACUCGAGAGGUGCAUUCAGAUUGGCCUUCUCUGCAUCCAGGAAUCACCCGACGACAGGCCGGCCAUGUCUGAUGUUGUCGCAGUGCUAACCACUAAGACCUCACAGAUCGCUCGGCCCAACAGGCCCGGAAUAUACAACCAACGAACAAGGUUUGUGACAGGUCAGGCGGAUCUCACUAGGACCACAACGAUCGAUCUCGAGUAG